RNAcentral lists this ribosomal RNA (472 nucleotides) under uncultured bacterium. RNAcentral describes it as "partial 16S ribosomal RNA". It matches the Rfam family "Bacterial small subunit ribosomal RNA", at positions 28 to 507 of the family's 1533-position model. The record is from RNAcentral.
GACGAAUGCUGGCGGCGUGCUUAACACAUGCAAGUCGAACGAUGAACCCGGAGCUUGCUCUGGGGGAUUAGUGGCGAACGGGUGAGUAACACGUGAGUAACCUGCCCUGGACUCUGGGAUAAGCGUUGGAAACGACGUCUAAUACCGGAUAGGACCUUGGAUCGCAUGAUCUGGGGUGGAAAGUUUUUUCGGUCUGGGAUGGACUCGCGGCCUAUCAGCUUGUUGGUGAGGUAAUGGCUCACCAAGGCGUCGACGGGUAGCCGGCCUGAGAGGGUGACCGGCCACACUGGGACUGAGACACGGCCCAGACUCCUACAGGAGGCAGCAGUGGGGAAUAUUGCACAAUGGGCGAAAGCCUGAUGCAGCAACGCCGCGUGCGGGAUGACGGCCUUCGGGUUGUAAACCGCUUUUAGUAGGGAAGAAGGGCUUCGGCUUGACGGUACCUGCAGAAAAAGGACCGGCUAACUACGUG